GAUGAACGCUGGCGGCGUGCCUAAUACAUGCAAGUCGAGCGAACGGACGAGAAGCUUGCUUCUCUGAUGUUAGCGGCGGACGGGUGAGUAACACGUGGAUAACCUACCUAUAAGACUGGGAUAACUUCGGGAAACCGGAGCUAAUACCGGAUAAUAUUUUGAACCGCAUGGUUCAAAAGUGAAAGACGGUCUUGCUGUCACUUAUAGAUGGAUCCGCGCUGCAUUAGCUAGUUGGUAAGGUAACGGCUUACCAAGGCAACGAUGCAUAGCCGACCUGAGAGGGUGAUCGGCCACACUGGAACUGAGACACGGUCCAGACUCCUACGGGAGGCAGCAGUAGGGAAUCUUCCGCAAUGGGCGAAAGCCUGACGGAGCAACGCCGCGUGAGUGAUGAAGGUCUUCGGAUCGUAAAACUCUGUUAUUAGGGAAGAACAUAUGUGUAAGUAAGUGUGCACAUCUUGACGGUACCUAAUCAGAAAGCCACGGCUAACUACGUG
Molecule: ribosomal RNA, 497 nt
Filed under: uncultured bacterium
Lineage: Bacteria
Description: partial 16S ribosomal RNA
Rfam family: Bacterial small subunit ribosomal RNA
Source: RNAcentral